Molecule: long non-coding RNA, 171 nt
Organism: Symphalangus syndactylus (siamang)
Lineage: Eukaryota; Metazoa; Chordata; Mammalia; Primates; Hylobatidae
Source: RefSeq, a predicted model, not a curated record
UGAAGAGAUGAAUAAGGAAAGUAUGGCAAAACUUCGUUUUAUUAGGAGAGGAGUGACUGCAAUAAAGGCUGGAGUGCAGUGGCACCAUCUCAGCUCACUGCAACCUCUGCCUCCUGGAUUCAAGCGAUUCUCCUGCCUCAGCCUCCCAAGUAGCUGGAAUUACAGGCGCCC